RNAcentral lists this ribosomal RNA (488 nucleotides) under uncultured bacterium. Its description in RNAcentral is "partial 16S ribosomal RNA". It matches the Rfam family "Bacterial small subunit ribosomal RNA", at positions 28 to 507 of the family's 1533-position model. The record is from RNAcentral.
GACGAACGCUGGCGGCGUGCUUAACACAUGCAAGUCGAACGGAAAGGCCCUGCUUUUGUGGGGUGCUCGAGUGGCGAACGGGUGAGUAACACGUGAGUAACCUGCCCUUGACUUUGGGAUAACUUCAGGAAACUGGGGCUAAUACCGGAUAGGAGCUCCUGCUGCACGGUGGGGGUUGGAAAGUUUCGGCGGUUGGGGAUGGACUCGCGGGGUAUCAGCUUGUUGGUGAGGUAGUGGGUUACCAAGGCUUUGACGGGUAGCCGGCCUGAGAGGGGGACCGGCGACACGGGAACGGAGACACGGUCCAGGGUACUAAGGGAGGCAGCAGUAGGGAACGGGCCGCAAUGGGCGAAAGUCUGACGGAGCAACGCCGCGUGAGUGAUGAAGGCCCUCGGAUCGUAAAACUCGGUUAUGGGGGAAGAACAAAUGUGUAAGGAAAUAUGCACGGCGUGACGGUAAUGAAUAAGAAAGCCACGGCUAACUACGUG